UGUGGGAGAUGCCAGGAGCCGUAC
This 24-nucleotide microRNA is filed under the name Mus musculus (house mouse). RNAcentral's name for it is "mmu-miR-7008-5p". Lineage: Eukaryota; Metazoa; Chordata; Mammalia; Rodentia; Muridae. The record is from miRBase by way of RNAcentral.